Non-coding RNA from Schistosoma curassoni, 45 nucleotides. Lineage: Eukaryota; Metazoa; Platyhelminthes; Trematoda; Strigeidida; Schistosomatidae. The record is from Rfam.
AUCCAGCUGACGAGUCACAAAUAGGAUGAAACGUGCGUCCUGAAU